RNAcentral lists this ribosomal RNA (774 nucleotides) under uncultured Neocallimastigales. RNAcentral describes it as "partial large subunit ribosomal RNA". It matches the Rfam family "Eukaryotic large subunit ribosomal RNA", at positions 22 to 643 of the family's 3401-position model. The record is from RNAcentral. Lineage: Eukaryota; Fungi; Neocallimastigomycota; Neocallimastigomycetes; Neocallimastigales.
CAUAGCGACUAUCGUGGCAUAUCAAUAAGCGGAGGAAAAGAAACUAACAAGGAUUCCCUUAGUAACGGCGAGUGAAGCGGGAAGAGCUCAAGUUUGAAAUCUUCAAGGUUCUACCUUGACGAAUUGUAGUUUAUAGAAGUGUUUUCUGUUAGUAGAGUGGCAAAAGUUCUUUGGAAUAGGACAUCAUAGAGGGUGAGAAUCCCGUAUUUGGUCAUUCUUUCUAGCUUUGUGAUACACUUUCAACGAGUCGGAUUGUUUGGGAAUGCAGUCCAAAAUGGGUGGUAAAUUUCAUCUAAAGCUAAAUAUUGGCGAGAGACCGAUAGCGAACAAGUACCGUGAGGGAAAGAUGAAAAGAACUUUGAAAAGAGAGUUAAACAGUACGUGAAAUUGUCAAAAGGGAAGCGUUUGACACCAGUGUUGCUUUUCCGAAAAUCAAUUACGAAUGUUUUGUUUUUAAGAAGUUAUGACUUCAUCGGCUUGCUUCUUUCUUUACGAAACUUUCUUAAUGCACUUUUCGGUUAACAAGUCAACAUCAAUUUCUUUUGUUGUAAAAGGGUAUGAGGAAGGUGGCUUUCUUUUCGGAGAAAGUGUUUAUAGCCUUGUACCUCUGCAAUCGGAGAGAUUGAGGUCUGCAGCGUAGAUCCUUCGGGGUUAGAUACAUUUGUGCUAAGUUAUAGCUUUUCAUAGACAACUUGUUGACUAUGUUGAGUCUUGUACUUACUCGCAUGAUGCUAUUUUACCUACGCUUAGGAUGUUGAUAUGCAUGACUGAUAU